Molecule: long non-coding RNA, 586 nt
Filed under: Equus asinus (donkey)
Lineage: Eukaryota; Metazoa; Chordata; Mammalia; Perissodactyla; Equidae
Description: lncRNA (ENSEASG00005034596.1)
Source: RNAcentral
CUCACGGAUCUGACCACAGAGGGGCGGGGGAGGGCUGAGGUGGCUUCUCCAUUCAGCACUUGCUCUUGUAUCCGCCAUCCGCACCCCGACUCUGAGACUACAGAAUGCUCUCAGCUCCAUUAGACCCCUCCUCCCCUAUUUUAUAGACUGGGACACGGAAGUUCAGAAAGAGAAAGUGGCAUGCUGAGGGGCACGUAGCAGACACCAGUGGCUGAGGGGAAUCCACAAUGCUGCCAGGCGCUGCCCGCACCGGCUGGCAGGGCUCAGAUGGAGGAUGAUCUGGACUCAAACUACGGCUGCCUUCCAGCUUCGUGACCUUGGACAAAUCCCUUCCCCUCGCUGAGCCUCAUAAUGGCCAUUCUGUAAAACGAGGACCCUGAGCGGCACUUCAGGUUGUGGCAAGGGUUCAGAGAGAAUCUGUAUGCUGACAACUCUGAAAUCUCCAUCUCCAGCCCAGAUGUCUCCAGAUCUCCAGCUGCCCUUGGAGAUCACCCAGACAUACAUCCUACAGAGACCUACAAGACACAGAAAAACAGGCCCAGGUGGACACAGAUUAGAGGGGACAGAGUUGGAAGCAAUAAACCAG